GCCGGGUGUGGUGGUGCACACCUGCAAUCCCAGCUACUUGGGAGGCUGAGGCACAAGAAUCACUUGAGCCUGGGAGGUGGAGAUUGCAGUGAACUGAGAGGGUGUCACUGCACUCCAGCCAGGGCAACAGAGUGAGACUCUGUCUCAA
Molecule: non-coding RNA, 148 nt
Filed under: Gorilla gorilla gorilla (western lowland gorilla)
Lineage: Eukaryota; Metazoa; Chordata; Mammalia; Primates; Hominidae
Source: Rfam by way of RNAcentral